CCUACGGGAGGCUGCAGUGGGGAAUAUUGGACAAUGGGGGGAACCCUGAUCCAGCCAUGCCGCGUGUGUGAAGAAGGCCCUCGGGUUGUAAAGCACUUUCAGUGAGGAAGAACGCCUGGUGGUUAAUACCCAUCAGGAAAGACAUCACUCACAGAAGAAGCACCGGCUAACUCCGUGCCAGCAGCCGCGGUAAUACGGAGGGUGCGAGCGUUAAUCGGAAUUACUGGGCGUAAAGCGCGCGUAGGUGGCUUGAUAAGCCGGGUGUGAAAGCCCCGGGCUCAACCUGGGAACGGCAUCCGGAACUGUCAAGCUAGAGUGCAGGAGAGGAAGGUAGAAUUCCCGGUGUAGCGGUGAAAUGCGUAGAGUUCGGGAGGAAUCCCAGUGGCGAAGGCGGCCUUCUGGACUGACACUGACACUGAGGUGCGAAAGCGUGGGUAGCAAACAGGAUUAGAUACCCGUGUAGUC
Molecule: ribosomal RNA, 465 nt
Filed under: Vreelandella stevensii
Lineage: Bacteria; Pseudomonadati; Pseudomonadota; Gammaproteobacteria; Oceanospirillales; Halomonadaceae
Description: partial 16S ribosomal RNA
Rfam family: Bacterial small subunit ribosomal RNA
Source: RNAcentral